CCUACGGGAGGCAGCAGUAGGGAAUCUUCCACAAUGGGCGAAAGCCUGAUGGAGCAACGCCGCGUGGGUGAAGAAGGUCUUCGGAUCGUAAAACCCUGUUGUUAGAGAAGAAAGUGCGUGAGAGUAACUGUUCACGUUUCGACGGGAUCUAACCAGAAAGCCACGGCUAACUACGUGCCAGCAGCCGCGGUAAUACGUAGGUGGCAAGCGUUAUCCGGAUUUAUUGGGCGUAAAGGGAACGCAGGCGGUCUUUUAAGUCUGAUGGGAAAGCCUUCGGCUUAACCGGAGUAGUGCAUUGGAAACUGGGAGACUUGAGUGCAGAAGAGGAGAGUGGAACUCCAUGUGUAGCGGUGAAAUGCGUAGAUAUAUGGAAGAACACCAGUGGCGAAAGCGGCUCUCUGGUCUGUAACUGACGCUGAGGUUCGAAAGCGUGGGUAGCAAACAGGAUUAGAUACCCGGGUAGUC
This 465-nucleotide ribosomal RNA is filed under the name uncultured bacterium. Its description in RNAcentral is "partial 16S ribosomal RNA". It matches the Rfam family "Bacterial small subunit ribosomal RNA", at positions 338 to 795 of the family's 1533-position model. The record is from RNAcentral.